UACGGAGGAUGCGAGCGUUAUCCGGAUUUAUUGGGUUUAAAGGGUGCGUAGGCGGGCGUUUAAGUCAGCUGUGAAAGUUUGAGGCUCAACCUUAAAAUUGCAGUUGAUACUGAACGUCUUGAGUAUGUUAAAGGCCGGCGGAAUUCGUGGUGUAGCGGUGAAAUGCUUAGAUAUCACGAAGAACUCCAAUUGCGUAGGCAGCUGGCUGGGCCAUAACUGACGCUGAGGCA
Molecule: ribosomal RNA, 230 nt
Filed under: uncultured microorganism
Description: partial 16S ribosomal RNA
Rfam family: Bacterial small subunit ribosomal RNA
Source: RNAcentral